CUAGUGAUCUUAGCCAGUGCAGUAGGGAAAACAAAAAAAGUGGAGGGAUGGAACAAAGUCAGGAAAGGAAAAUAAAAUUGUCUUUAUUUGCAGACAACAUGGUAUAUACAUGUUUGCAAAAGUAUUUUUAAAAAUCUACUAGACCUAAUUGAGUUUCACAAAAUAUCUAAAUGAGAUACACUGUAUAUACAGAUGGAAAUAUUCAGUAUUGAUUGUUAAGAUAACACUUUUCCUCAAAUUGAUCUAUAUGUUCAAUCCAGUCAUCAACAGACAUUUAUGUGGAAUUUGACAAGCUGAUUCAAAUCUUAUAUGGAAAUGCAGAAGACCUAGAGAACAAAACACUCAAGAAGACUCACAUUACUUGAUUUCUCAGCUUAUUAUAAAGCUAGAGUAAUCAAGGAUGUGGUAUUGGCAUAAGAAUAGGUCAAUGGAUCAGUAUAGUCUAGACACAUAUGGACAAUAAAUUUUUUUAGCAGUUUAAGAAAUCUUUAUUUAACUGUUGAGUCUCCUUUUUCAUUUGUUCAUUUUUUAAUUCAUGCUCAGGAAGUUACUUCUGUAUCCUUAACAAAUCACAUCUCCUCCCUCUCUCCUACCCAGAAAUCCUCCUUCUUCCCUUAGAAUUUCUGAUGCUGGAGAGAUCUGAGAGUUCUCGGAAAAUGUUUAAAGUCACCAGCCAAGACUGGAGCAUGCAGGUGGUACUAAUAGGCGCUGGCUCCAGAUUUUGUUGAGAUGAUCAAGAGGAAGCCUAAUCCAAUGCCUCAUAUUGCUUUGGGAUUCCUUAUCGAAGGAGAUCCUUGGAGAGCUCCCAGAUGUGGCCGUCUGAAGAGUGUCACAUUGUCUACAGUUGUACCUGCCAGAGAAAUCCUCCUUCUUCCCUUAGAAUUUCUGAUGCUGGAGAGAUCUGAGAGUUCUCGGAAAAUGUUUAAAGUCACCAGCCAAGACUGGAGCAUGCAGGUGGUACUAAUAGGCGCUGGCUCCAGAUUUUGUUGA
RNAcentral lists this long non-coding RNA (990 nucleotides) under Sus scrofa (pig). RNAcentral describes it as "lncRNA (ENSSSCG00070007968.1)". Lineage: Eukaryota; Metazoa; Chordata; Mammalia; Artiodactyla; Suidae. The record is from RNAcentral.